AACCCUAAGUCCUAUAAUGAGUAAGGUUACUCGGACAUGGCCCAAUGAGGGUGAAAGGCCCGUGGGGGUGGAGAUUCAGAAUGGCCAGUAUCUUCCUGAGCAGACCUUGGAGUCGGGUUGUUUGUGAAUGCAGCCCAAAGCGGGUGGUAAACUCCAUCCAAGGCUAAAUACUAGCACGAGUCCGAUAGCGAACAAGUACCGUGAGGGAAAGUUGAAAGUACUUUGAAGAGAGAGUAAACAGUGCGUGAACCGUUCAGAGGUAAACAGGUGGAGUUGAACUGCAAGCUCUGAGGAUUCAGCUGGUGAGUAUGGCAUGAGCUUGGUCAUAUUGGUUGUGUGCUCGGGUCUGCUUAGCUGCAGGUCUCCGCUUCGGUGGGGAUGCGCGAAUCACUCAUCAGGUGUUGUGCGCCCGGGUACUGACGGACCUGCUUGCCAGUGCAUUUCUCAGAGUGUUCACCACGACCGACGUUGCUGUCUGGCUGUUGCGGUUAAACCGGCUUGGUAGGGUCCUUGUGUCCUUGCUAGGUCGGGAUGGCAGGUAGCCCGUUGUGCGAUUUAUCGUGCUUUGGGUGUAAUAGCCGACUGCUUCGGUUCUGUGCGGUACGUCGGAGACGGCGGCUUGUUGUGCGUGCGGGCGUGCCUGUCGCGCCGGCGGCUCUGGGUCUGGUUGCCUUGUUGCUUGUGAAUGCAGGCCAGGUGAUGGCUCGGUGUCGUUCGGUCGGCGGUUGCGUUUGUUGCACUUUGAAAGGGCCCACAGUCUGUGGUGUAGUGGUAGACUAUCCACCUGACCCGUCUUGAAACACGGACCAAGGAGAGUAACAUGUGCGCGAGUCAUUGGGCGUUACGAAACCCAAAGGCGCAGUGAAAGUGAAGGCUCGGCUUGUCUGGGCUGAAGUGAGAUCCUGUCGUUUCUCAUGCGCGGUACUACCAAGCUUCAAGCGGCAAGG
This 947-nucleotide ribosomal RNA is filed under the name Fasciola gigantica. RNAcentral's name for it is "eukaryotic LSU rRNA". It matches the Rfam family "Eukaryotic large subunit ribosomal RNA", at positions 161 to 786 of the family's 3401-position model. The record is from RNAcentral. Lineage: Eukaryota; Metazoa; Platyhelminthes; Trematoda; Plagiorchiida; Fasciolidae.